AGAGUUGAUCAUGGCUCAGGACGAACGCUGGCGGCGUGCUAACACAUGCAAGUCGAGCGAUGAAGUCCCUUCGGGGACGGAUUAGCGGCGGACGGGUGAGUAACACGUGGGUAACCUGCCUCAUAGAGGGGAAUAGCCUUCCGAAAGGAAGAUUAAUACCGCAUAAGAUUGUAGUUUCGCAUGAAACAGCAAUUAAAGGAGUAAUCCGCUAUGAGAUGGACCCGCGUCGCAUUAGCUAGUGGUUUGAGGUAACGGCUCACCAAGGCGACGAUACGUAGCCGACCUGAGAGGGUGAUCGGCCACAUUGGGACUGAGACACGGCCCAGACUCCUACGGGAGGCAGCAGUGGGGAAUAUUGCACAAUGGGGGAAACCCUGAUGCAGCAAACCGCCGCGUGAGUGAUGACGGUCUUCGGAUUGUAAAGCUCUGUCUUCAGGGACGAUAAUGACGGUACCUGAGGAGGAAGCCACGGCUAACUACGUGCCAGCCGCAGC
RNAcentral lists this ribosomal RNA (494 nucleotides) under uncultured bacterium. RNAcentral describes it as "bacterial SSU rRNA". It matches the Rfam family "Bacterial small subunit ribosomal RNA", at positions 8 to 518 of the family's 1533-position model. The record is from RNAcentral.